This 455-nucleotide ribosomal RNA is filed under the name uncultured bacterium. RNAcentral's name for it is "partial 16S ribosomal RNA". It matches the Rfam family "Bacterial small subunit ribosomal RNA", at positions 29 to 523 of the family's 1533-position model. The record is from RNAcentral.
AACGAACGCUGGCGGCAUGCUUAACACAUGCAAGUCGAACGAAGGGUACUUGUACCCUUAGUGGCGAACGGGUGAGUAACGCGUGGGAAUCUGCCUCUUGGUGGGGGAUAACUAAGGGAAACUUUAGCUAAUACCGCAUACCCUUGGAAACAAGGAAAGAUUUAUCGCCAAGAGAUGAGCCCGCGUUAGAUUAGGUAGUUGGUGGGGGAAUGGCCUACCAAGCCUGUGAUCUGUAGCUGGUCUGAGAGGAUGAUCAGCCACACUGGGAUUGAGAUACGGCCCAGACUCCUACGGGAGGCAGCAGUGAGGAAUAUUGUACAAUGGGGGAAACCCUGUUCCAGCAAUGCCGCGUGAAUGAAGAAGGCCUUCGGGUUGUAAAGUUCUUUCGCUCGCGAAGAUAGUGACGGUAGCGAGAUAAGAAGCUCCGGCUAACUCUGUGCCAGCCGCCGCGGUAA